UGCGUAGGCGGGCUAAUAAGUUAGUGGUGAAAUCUUUCGGCUCAACCGAGAAACUGCCAUUGAUACUGUUAGUCUUGAGUUCGGUUGAGGUAGGCGGAAUGUGUAAUGUAGCGGUGAAAUGCUUAGAUAUUACACAGAACACCAAUUGCGUAGGCAGCUUACUAGACCGACACUGACGCUGAGGCACGAAAGCGUGGGGAGCGAACAGGAUUAGAUACCCUGGUAGUC
This 228-nucleotide ribosomal RNA is filed under the name uncultured bacterium. RNAcentral's name for it is "partial 16S ribosomal RNA". It matches the Rfam family "Bacterial small subunit ribosomal RNA", at positions 568 to 795 of the family's 1533-position model. The record is from RNAcentral.